AUUGAACGCUGGCGGCAGGCCUAACACAUGCAAGUCGAGCGGAUGAAGGGAGCUUGCUCCUGGAUUCAGCGGCGGACGGGUGAGUAAUGCCUAGGAAUCUGCCUGGUAGUGGGGGAUAACGUCCGGAAACGGGCGCUAAUACCGCAUACGUCCUGAGGGAGAAAGUGGGGGAUCUUCGGACCUCACGCUAUCAGAUGAGCCUAGGUCGGAUUAGCUAGUUGGUGGGGUAAAGGCCUACCAAGGCGACGAUCCGUAACUGGUCUGAGAGGAUGAUCAGUCACACUGGAACUGAGACACGGUCCAGACUACUACGGGAGGCAGCAGUGGGGAAUAUUGGACAAUGGGCGAAAGCCUGAUCCAGCCAUGCCGCGUGUGUGAAGAAGGUCUUCGGAUUGUAAAGCACUUUAAGUUGGGAGGAGGGGCAGUAAGUUAAUACCUUGCUGUUUUGACGUUACCAACAGAAUAAGCACCGGCUAACUUCGUG
This 484-nucleotide ribosomal RNA is filed under the name uncultured bacterium. RNAcentral's name for it is "partial 16S ribosomal RNA". It matches the Rfam family "Bacterial small subunit ribosomal RNA", at positions 30 to 507 of the family's 1533-position model. The record is from RNAcentral.